CGGACGGGUGAGUAAUGUCUGGGAAACUGCCUGAUGGAGGGGGAUAACUACUGGAAACGGUAGCUAAUGCCGCAUAACGUCGCAAGACCAAAGAGGGGGACCUUAGGGCCUCUUGCCAUCGGAUGUGCCCAGAUGGGAUUAGCUAGUAGGUGGGGUAACGGCUCACCUAGGCGACGAUCCCUAGCUGGUCUGAGAGGAUGACCAGCCACACUGGAACUGAGACACGGUCCAG
Molecule: ribosomal RNA, 232 nt
Filed under: uncultured bacterium
Lineage: Bacteria
Description: partial 16S ribosomal RNA
Rfam family: Bacterial small subunit ribosomal RNA
Source: RNAcentral